RNAcentral lists this long non-coding RNA (1785 nucleotides) under Cicer arietinum (chickpea). RNAcentral describes it as "long non-coding RNA (CARI_LNC000731)". Lineage: Eukaryota; Viridiplantae; Streptophyta; Magnoliopsida; Fabales; Fabaceae. The record is from RNAcentral.
GCAUAUUCAAUAUACUUAGGUGCAAUUAAUUUUCUAGAUUUCAUGUAAACAUGUUCUAACUUUACUACAUCGUCCCUUUGAAUGUCAAACACUCGACUACCGACAUUAAAUGUUUUUAUAAAGUAAUGGUAUAUUAGGAAUACUAGCAUUAAAUGAGUCAAAAGUAGUUAACUUUUGUUUAUAAUAGUGACCAAUAUUUGAGGUAACUUUUUUACUUAUAAUAGUUGUUGAAUGAGAGAAAAUGAGAGAGACAUAUGGUGAAACCGUGUGUCUGAACUACACAACUGAGUCAGUUUUAUAUAGGCUCAAGGCAAUAAAUACAAAAAAUAAAUAUGGGAGAUAUUAUCCCUAUUUAGAUGAUACAAUGUGAUAUGUAAUAAAUACAAAUAUCGUAAAUAUAUUUUCAGCACUCCCCCUCAAACUGGAGGAUAAAAAUCAUAUGAAUCAAUCUUGUUGCAUAUAUGAUUGAUUUGAGGACCUUUCAGGGACUUAGCGAAUACAUCUGCCAAUUGAUCAUUGGAAUUAAUAAAGUUAGUGAUGAUGUCGUCUGCUUCAAUCUUCUCCCUUAUAAAGUGACAAUUUAUCUCAAUAUGCUUGGUCCUCUCAUGAAAAACCGGAUUAGAGACAAUGUGCAACGCUGCUUGAUUAUCGCAGAUUAAUGUCAUUUGUGUUGCCUCUUCAAAUUGAAGCUCUUUGAGUAACUGUUUCAACCAAAUGAGCUCACAAGUCACUAAUGUCAUAGCCCUAGAUCUUGCAACUACACUUUGUUUCUUACUCUUCUAGGAUAUUAAGUUUCCUCCAACAAGUACACAAUACCCAUAAAUGGAUCGCCUAUCAAUGGGUGAGCCUGCUCAAUCAACAUUUGAAUAACCAACUAUUUGAGUAUGUCCUCUGUUUUUAUAAAUUAGACCUUUUCCUGGAGCACCUUUAAUGUAUUUCAAGUCGUAUCACAACAUCCCAGUGUUCUUGGCAAAGAGAGUUUAAGAAUUGGCUUACCACACUGAUUGCAAAAGAAAUGUAUGGGCGGGUGAUUGUGAGGUAGCUUGAUUUACCAACCAAUCUUCUGCACCUCUCUGAAUCUGAACAUGGCUCCCCACGAUUAGGUAGAAAUUUGACAUUUGGAUCUAUAGGAAUAUGAGCUCACAAGUCACUAAUGUCAUAGCCCUAGAUCUUGCAACUACACUUUGUUUCUUACUCUUCUAGGAUAUUAAGUUUCCUCCAACAAGUACACAAUACCCAUAAAUGGAUCGCCUAUCAAUGGGUGAGCCUGCUCAAUCAACAUUUGAAUAACCAACUAUUUGAGUAUGUCCUCUGUUUUUAUAAAUUAGACCUUUUCCUGGAGCACCUUUAAUGUAUUUCAAGUCGUAUCACAACAUCCCAGUGUUCUUGGCAAAGAGAGUUUAAGAAUUGGCUUACCACACUGAUUGCAAAAGAAAUGUAUGGGCGGGUGAUUGUGAGGUAGCUUGAUUUACCAACCAAUCUUCUGCACCUCUCUGAAUCUGAACAUGGCUCCCCACGAUUAGGUAGAAAUUUGACAUUUGGAUCUAUAGGAAUAUCAACCGGCUUGGCAUUCAAUAAACUUGUCUCUUCGAAAAUAUCGUUGACAUAUUUCCUUUGUGAAAUUACUAAAUCGCCCUUAGAUUGGACUACCUCAAUACCCAAGAAGUAGCGGAGCUUGCCAAGAUCUUUAGUUUGAAACUGAUAAGAUAAAUGUUGUUUCAACUGGAGUAUGUUCUGCUGAUCACUACCAGUUAUGACAAUAUCGUCUUCAUAGACAAUCAAGUA